RNAcentral lists this transfer RNA (82 nucleotides) under Echinostoma caproni. It matches the Rfam family "tRNA". From Rfam's summary of the family: Transfer RNA (tRNA) molecules are approximately 80 nucleotides in length. Their secondary structure includes four short double-helical elements and three loops (D, anti-codon, and T loops). The record is from Rfam by way of RNAcentral. Lineage: Eukaryota; Metazoa; Platyhelminthes; Trematoda; Plagiorchiida; Echinostomatidae.
UGCCUCGUAGCUCAGCUGGUAGAGCGUGCGCGUACAAAGCGUAGGCGGCGUCAAUGCGUAGGUUCGAAACCCGCCGAAGCUA